RNAcentral lists this transfer RNA (68 nucleotides) under Dipodomys ordii (Ord's kangaroo rat). It matches the Rfam family "tRNA". From Rfam's summary of the family: Transfer RNA (tRNA) molecules are approximately 80 nucleotides in length. The record is from Rfam by way of RNAcentral. Lineage: Eukaryota; Metazoa; Chordata; Mammalia; Rodentia; Heteromyidae.
GGGAAUGUGACUUAGUGGUAGAGUGCUUGCCUAGUAUGCAUGAAGCAGGGUUCGAUUCCUCAGUGCCA